Callithrix jacchus (white-tufted-ear marmoset) is the source of this 115-nucleotide unclassified non-coding RNA. It matches the Rfam family "Metazoan signal recognition particle RNA". From Rfam's summary of the family: The signal recognition particle (SRP) is a universally conserved ribonucleoprotein. The record is from Ensembl. Lineage: Eukaryota; Metazoa; Chordata; Mammalia; Primates; Cebidae.
GCCGGGCAUGAUGGCUCACGCCUGUAAUCCAAGCACUUGGAGGCCAAGGCGGGAGGAUCACCUGAGGUCAGGAGUUCAAGACCAGCCUGACCAACAUGGUGAAACCCUGUCUUAA